This 74-nucleotide transfer RNA is filed under the name Phycisphaerae bacterium. Its description in RNAcentral is "tRNA-Arg". It matches the Rfam family "tRNA". From Rfam's summary of the family: Transfer RNA (tRNA) molecules are approximately 80 nucleotides in length. The record is from RNAcentral. Lineage: Bacteria; Pseudomonadati; Planctomycetota; Phycisphaerae.
GCGCCCGUAGCUCAAUUGGACAGAGCAUCUGGCUUCGGACCAGAGGGUUGUAGGUUCGAGUCCUGCCGGGCGCG